UCAGCUUGCUGGGUGGAUCAGUGGCGAACGGGUGAGUAACACGUGAGCAAUCUGCCCCUGACUCUGGGAUAAGCGCUGGAAACGGCGUCUAAUACUGGAUACGAACCGUGGAGGCAUCUUCAACGGUUGGAAAGAUUUUUUGGUCAGGGAUGAGCUCGCGGCCUAUCAGCUUGUUGGUGAGGUAAUGGCUCACCAAGGCGUCGACGGGUAGCCGGCCUGAGAGGGUGACCGGCCACACUGGGACUGAGACACGGCCCAGACUCCUACGGGAGGCAGCAGUGGGGAAUAUUGCACAAUGGGCGAAAGCCUGAUGCAGCAACGCCGCGUGAGGGAUGACGGCCUUCGGGUUGUAAACCUCUUUUAGCAGGGAAGAAGCGAAAGUGACGGUACCUGCAGAAAAAGCGCCGGCUAACUACGUGCCAGCAGCCGCGGUAAUACGUAGGGCGCAAGCGUUAUCCGGAAUUAUUGGGCGUAAAGAGCUCGUAGGCGGUUUGUCGCGUCUGCUGUGAAAUCCCGAGGCUCAACUUCGGGUCUGCAGUGGGUACGGGCAGACUAGAGUGCGGUAGGGGAGAUUGGAAUUCCUGGUGUAGCGGUGGAAUGCGCAGAUAUCAGGAGGAACACCGAUGGCGAAGGCAGAUCUCUGGGCCGUAACUGACGCUGAGGAGCGAAAGGGUGGGGAGCAAACAGGCUUAGAUACCCUGGUAGUCCACCCCGUAAACGUUGGGAACUAGUUGUGGGGUCCAUUCCACGGAUUCCGUGACGCAGCUAACGCAUUAAGUUCCCCGCCUGGGGAGUACGGCCGCAAGGCUAAAACUCAAAGGAAUUGACGGGGACCCGCACAAGCGGCGGAGCAUGCGGAUUAAUUCGAUGCAACGCGAAGAACCUUACCAAGGCUUGACAUAUACGAGAACGCUGCAGAAAUGUAGAACUCUUUGGACACUCGUAAACAGGUGGUGCAUGGUUGUCGUCAGCUCGUGUCGUGAGAUGUUGGGUUAAGUCCCGCAACGAGCGCAACCCUCGUUCUAUGUUGCCAGCACGUAAUGGUGGGAACUCAUGGGAUACUGCCGGGGUCAACUCGGAGGAAGGUGGGGAUGACGUCAAAUCAUCAUGCCCCUUAUGUCUUGGGCUUCACGCAUGCUACAAUGGCCGGUACAAAGGGCUGCAAUACCGUGAGGUGGAGCGAAUCCCAAAAAGCCGGUCCCAGUUCGGAUUGAGGUCUGCAACUCGACCUCAUGAAGUCGGAGUCGCUAGUAAUCGCAGAUCAGCAACGCUGCGGUGAAUACGUUCCCGGGUCUUGUACACACCGCCCGUCAAGUCAUGAAAGUCGGUAACACCUGAAGCCGGGGCCCAACCCU
Molecule: ribosomal RNA, 1355 nt
Filed under: Microbacterium laevaniformans
Lineage: Bacteria; Bacillati; Actinomycetota; Actinomycetes; Micrococcales; Microbacteriaceae
Description: bacterial SSU rRNA
Rfam family: Bacterial small subunit ribosomal RNA
Source: RNAcentral